Molecule: long non-coding RNA, 1926 nt
Organism: Eupeodes corollae
Lineage: Eukaryota; Metazoa; Arthropoda; Insecta; Diptera; Syrphidae
Exons: 3
Source: RefSeq, a predicted model, not a curated record
CCGACCGCCAAGAAACCAUAUCUGUUUACUAAAAUCUUGUAUCAACUUUUGAUUUUUGAAGUCAGUGCGGGGGCAGAAGAUCUUAACCAAAUUAAUUGAAAAACUACAUUUAUUUUUCUUUUAAUAUAAGGCACCAAUGCCCCCCUAUUAGAAUUUCCAAUCUCAAAAAAAAAAAAUUUCAUACAUUCUUGCUCCACCCUAAUGGGCAUCGAGGAGGAUGAAUUUAUCGAGUACGUGGUAGAGGGCAUUAGUGACACAAAUUUAAGACUAUACGCUCUAGUCCAUGAUUUUAAGGAUCGUGCUCAGCUACUUCGAACUUUCGGCAAGGUAGAACAAACGAAGCCAGGCGGCUCUAAGCCAACAACAAAGCCUAUGACAACGACAACGAUGAGACAACAGAAGAAGGAGGGGCCACGAUGUUAUAAUUGCAACUGCGUGGGACACAUCGCUGUGGAGUGUAGGAAGACGAAACGCGAGUAUGGUGCGUGCUACGGAUGCGGUUCUAAAGAACAUCUUUUACCGAAGUGUCCAAAUAAAAAGUACACGGUCCAGUUGUUGGACAACGAAAAGGAAGACUUUAAUGCCUCAUAGACACUGGUAGCCCGAUAAACUUUAUAAGACGGUCGUGCCUUCCUAAAGGAAUAAAAUUAAAUUUAAAGAUUAACAAUGUGUCCUACUUUGGCAUAAAUGAAAGUAAAUUAUUAAUCGAAGGAAUGUUUUCGUGUUUUGUUCAUUAGAAAAAUUUUAAAAUUUUGGUAGAUAUGUUUGUAGUAAAUGACAGAUCAACGGUCUAUGAGGUUGUUCUGGGAAGAAGUUUUUUAAAAGCUGGUAAUUUUAAGUUAGUUUCUGAUUAUGACAAAGAUGUGUACAACGAUAACGAAUUGUAGUAAUAUUUAUAAUAGUAAUAGUGCAAUACUAGCAUGUAAGCGUAAUAAUAAGUAGUAAGUAAGUAAUUGUUAAGCAGUGGCAACACUUAAAUAGUAUGUAAGUAAAUGUUAAACAGUGGCAACACUUAUAAAAGAAUGCAAGAUGAAAAUAAAAGAGACGCGAGUCAGUUUGUGACCGACCGCCAAGAAAGUAAGUUGUUCUUUAUUUCGUUCACCGACUAUCAGUUGCCUUUGAAAUAUCUGUGACUUAAAUAGAUAGAUAUGAAACUUUACAACUGAAACGCUGAUAAAGCAAUUCCCAAAAAAAAAAAAACAAUUACGCUGUGAUUCAAGUAAUAAGCUCCCUAAAAACAAUAUGGAAAAUUUCAAGAUUCGUAACAUCCGUAUUAUAACCCGCAAGUUAAGUUUCUCAAGUUUCUUCAAUAAUUCGAUACAUAGCAUGGCAAAUUUUGCAUUAAGGCUGAUCAUUGUUCUAAGCUCAUUCAGUAAAUGUUUGAAACAAGUAAUUAAAAAAGAAUAACAACACAUGUUGAAAGAUACGAUAUACUUCCGCUAGAACAGUUUGGAUUUCGUGCCUACAGUUCACCAAGUGCAUAGAAUAACCAAACAAAUUAAGAAUAAUUUCAAUAAAGGAAAAAGCACAGGUAUGGCGUUCCUUGACAUUGAAAAAGCGUUUGACACCUUUAAGCUCAACACUUUGCUACAUAAGCUUUUAACUCAAUUAAUUUCAUAAAGAUUGUACAAUAAUUUUUUAAGUGAAAGGACAUUUAGAGUUACUGUAAUCUAUUUGAAAAUAAAUAAAUGCUUCAAAAACACAGGUUAUCUAUUUCACUCCAAAAAGGAAAGCCUGCCUAUUUGCUAAGCAAUUACCUAGUUAUUUGCGGUACGAGUACAGGUUGGCAAACAAGUGUAAACUAUCUUGGGGUAUAUCCGAUUUGCAAAUAAUUUGUUUUUAUAAAAGUUAUUUGUUCAUUAUUUAUUUCCCUUUCGUUUGCUUAAUGUUCAAUAUUUGUUUAGAAAUUAUUCAUUUUUUUAAAUU